Molecule: ribosomal RNA, 508 nt
Filed under: uncultured bacterium
Lineage: Bacteria
Description: partial 16S ribosomal RNA
Rfam family: Bacterial small subunit ribosomal RNA
Source: RNAcentral
GACGAACGCUGGCGGCGUGCUUAACACAUGCAAGUCGAACGGCAGCGGGGGAGAAGCUUGCUUUUCCUGCCGGCGAGUGGCGAACGGGUGAGUAAUACAUCGGAACGUGCCCUGUAGUGGGGGAUAACUAGUCGAAAGAUUAGCUAAUACCGCAUACGACCUGAGGGUGAAAGUGGGGGACCGUAAGGCCUCAUGCUAUAGGAGCGGCCGAUGUCUGAUUAGCUAGUUGGUGGGGUAAAGGCCUACCAAGGCGACGAUCAGUAGCUGGUCUGAGAGGACGAUCAGCCACACUGGGACUGAGACACGGCCCAGACUCCUACGGGAGGCAGCAGUGGGGAAUUUUGGACAAUGGGCGAAAGCCUGAUCCAGCAAUGCCGCGUGUGUGAAGAAGGCCUUCGGGUUGUAAAGCACUUUUGUCCGGAAAGAAAUGGCUCUGGUUAAUACCUGGGGUCGAUGACGGUACCGGAAGAAUAAGGACCGGCUAACUACGUGCCAGCCGCCGCAGUAA